GAUGGACGCUAGCGGCAGGCUUAACACAUGCAAGUCGAGGGGUAGAGGUUGCUUGCAACCUUGAGACCGGCGCACGGGUGCGUAACGCGUAUGCAACCUACCUUUUACAGAGGGAUAGCCCAGAGAAAUUUGGAUUAAUACCUCAUAGUAUAUAACCUACGCAUGUUGGUUAUAUUAAAGUUCCAACGGUAAAAGAUGGGCAUGCGUCCUAUUAGCUAGAUGGUAAGGUAACGGCUUACCAUGGCAACGAUAGGCAGGGGUCCUGAGAGGGAGAUCCCCCACCCUGGUACUGAGACACGGACCAGACUCCUACGGGAGGCAGCAGUGAGGAAUAUUGGACAAUGGGCGCAAGCCUGAUCCAGCCAUGCCGCGUGCAGGAAGAAGCAUCUAUGGUGUGUAAACUGCUUUUGUACAGGAAGAAACACCCCGACGUGUCGGGGCUUGACGGUACUGUAAGAAUAAGGAUCGGCUAACUCCGUGCCAGCCGCCGCAGUAA
RNAcentral lists this ribosomal RNA (496 nucleotides) under uncultured bacterium. Its description in RNAcentral is "partial 16S ribosomal RNA". It matches the Rfam family "Bacterial small subunit ribosomal RNA", at positions 28 to 523 of the family's 1533-position model. The record is from RNAcentral.